This 1555-nucleotide unclassified non-coding RNA is filed under the name Penaeus chinensis. RNAcentral's name for it is "uncharacterized LOC125038007, transcript variant X1". The record is from RNAcentral. Lineage: Eukaryota; Metazoa; Arthropoda; Malacostraca; Decapoda; Penaeidae.
UGUGUGUGUGUUUGUUUGUGUAUGUGUAUGUGUAUCUUUAUAUAUGUGUAUCUAUAUAUAUGUAUCUAUAAUGUUGAACCAAUUCAAAGUUUUAUCCUGCUUUGUGGGAAGUAUGCAGAUUAGUCGUAAUCCAUAUAAGAGUGACAUGCUAAUCUAGAUGUAAAAUCAUGAAUUGAAGACAAAAGGCAGCUGGAUAAGUAACUUCAUGUAAUAAAGUUCUGUAUAAUAUAUGACUGUAAAGAUAUGAAAAAUUCUGAAAACACAUAGAUAUAACACAAUGAUAUCUUCCUGAAAUGAUAUUACCUCUAAAAGAUGAAUUCAAGAGUAUGAAAAAUUGUGAGAUCAGAAGUGGACUUUCAAAACAGGGACAAGCAGCUUCAGAGAAAUACAUUAUUAGCAGCCGCCUCUGCAUGAUAGCGACUGGCUAUAGAGAUUUUAUACCCUGUCAAGAUUACUUGGACAAUUGAUCCUGUUUCAAGUCACAUCACCUUGAUGCUGUGAAGAAGUAGCAAUGUGCAGACAGUUUGACUCUGGCUGUGCUAUGUCAUGUUCCCCAUGCUAUGUUAUCCAGGAUGCAGCAUGCCUUCUACCACAACUCUUCUCCUAGAGGCAAGCUUCCUGCCAGAUUUCAGCCUGCCCACACAGAAAAAAAUCUACCCUUUCUGUCACCUCCUUCACCCUGUCAACUGAAAACUCAUCUUUUGCCAGGUGAACACUCUUUUCUGCAAGCUGGACUUCACUAGUCCUUACUCUACCUCAAAGGUGGGCACCAAUGUUAUUCUUUGUGCCUCAUGUAAUAAACAGUACUAUAGGAUACUGGUGCCAGUUUCAUGAAAUGUUUUUCUUAGUACAAGUAUGUUAUAUCCAGGGAGCACAUCAACAAUUCCUUUUCCUGCCAUCAGUGUGACACAGGCUCUCAGAUGAAUUUGUUAGCAGCUCAUAUUGUGUUUCCUUAUGGUGAUGUCCACACCCCCAGACUAGUGGAAUCUUCCCUGAUAAACCUUUUUUUCCUGCUUCCCUCAUGCACAAUGUUACUUCUUCCUCUCCCUCUUGUAUACCUUCCUUUCUUUCACCUCUUCAGACCUUGAAGAUGAAGGACCUCAAAACUGCUGUCUUGUCUUUCAGAAAUUUGUGUUUGCAUCUACACUGUUGUAUCAACAAGGUAGAUUUUGUCAUUCAACAAAGAUUCUCUCCAUGGAGGCCUGUGCAGGGAGGGCAAAAUGAAUCACUUGCACUACUUUCUACUGCAUUAUUCCAUUGUAAAUACACACCUCAUUAACCAUAUCAUUGUAUUUGAAUAUUUAAAUCCUUUGCAUCAAAUGCUUAUUGGUUGUAAAACCUUGCUAUCUUCCCUUGCUAUCAUUACUGAAGAAUGAGUACACAGGUAAUGACCAUGCAUCUAAUAGACCAUCCUUUUAGUGGGCAUUUUGUCCAAGUGAUUCAGUCCUGCUCUCUCUGGGUAUAAAUUAUCUGUGUCAGUGCUCACCUGCUUCAUUCCAUUAUGUAUGUACACAUAUUGAAGAAGUACUUAAAUAAUAAAAAUGCUUCAUAUAAA